Molecule: ribosomal RNA, 435 nt
Filed under: Triticum aestivum (bread wheat)
Lineage: Eukaryota; Viridiplantae; Streptophyta; Magnoliopsida; Poales; Poaceae
Description: partial small subunit ribosomal RNA
Source: RNAcentral
AUGACUAGGGAUAACCUUAGGAAGAGACACAUCAUCAAACCCCUUUGUGUUUACUGCUUGGAACAAGAGUCUUGUUCACACCUAUUUUUUGAAUGUAUAGUUGCUAAACAUCUCUAGGACCACAUUGAGGAAUAUUUCUCUAGUCAGAUUGGCUCAUCCUUUGAAUCUGUCGCCAGAUUCUGGAUUGCUACCAAAAAGUGCUUAGUUUUAAACACUGUUAGCUCAGCUGUCCUUUGGUGCCUCUAGAAAUAUAGAAAUUCUAUGAUUUUCAGUAACACCUCCUGGAUUUCCAUUUCGCAGGUCUUGAGGUUGAUCAGGAACAUGGUGAGGAACUGGGCGAUUCUCUCCUCCGGAUCGGACAAGGACGAGUUGAUGAGCUUCGGGGAAACCCUAACAAGAUCCCUCCAGAAACCGUUGGCAGUCACUUGUGGCUGA